Molecule: ribosomal RNA, 343 nt
Filed under: Anastrepha leptozona
Lineage: Eukaryota; Metazoa; Arthropoda; Insecta; Diptera; Tephritidae
Description: partial 28S large subunit ribosomal RNA
Rfam family: Eukaryotic large subunit ribosomal RNA
Source: RNAcentral
AUCCAAGUCAUUGAGUUAUAAUAAACUUAAGGGGGUAAUUAACUUAACUAAUUAUAUAAUAUAUAUUAUAAAUGGGAUUAAUUUUUUGUCUAUUUUGUUUAUAAAUAGUCMAUUAAUUCAAUCCCGGGGCGUUCCMUAUAGUUAUGUAUAAUGAUAAUUUAUUAUUAUUUAUAUCUCUWACUGGARCGUACCUUGARCAUAUAUGUUGUGACCCSAAARAUGGUGAACUAUACUUGAUCAGGUUGAARUCMGGGGAAACCCUGAUGGAARAMCGAAACAGUUCUGAMSUGCAAAUCCAUUGGCANAAUUGAAUAUAGGGGCCAAAGAACAAUCCAACCAUCUA